RNAcentral lists this ribosomal RNA (469 nucleotides) under uncultured bacterium. RNAcentral's name for it is "partial 16S ribosomal RNA". It matches the Rfam family "Bacterial small subunit ribosomal RNA", at positions 28 to 508 of the family's 1533-position model. The record is from RNAcentral.
GACGAACGCUGGCGGCGUGCUUAACACAUGCAAGUCGAACGGAAAGGCCCUGCUUUUGUGGGGUGCUCGAGUGGCGAACGGGUGAGUAACACGUGAGUAACCUGCCCUUGACUUUGGGAUAACUUCAGGAAACUGGGGCUAAUACCGGAUAGGAGCUCCUGCUGCAUGGUGGGGGUUGGAAAGUUUCGGCGGUUGGGGAUGGACUCGCGGCUUAUCAGCUUGUUGGUGGGGUAGUGGCUUACCAAGGCUUUGACGGGUAGCCGGCCUGAGAGGGUGACCGGCCAACUUUGGACUGAGAUACGGCCCAGACUCCUACGGGAGGCAGCAGGUGGGAAUAUUGCACAAUUGGCGGAAGCCUGAUGCAGCAACGCCGCGGGCGGGAUGACCGCCUUCGGGUUGUAAACCGCUUUCGCCUGUGACGAAGCGUGAGUGACGGUAAUGGGUAAAGAAGCACCGGCUAACUACGUGC